Non-coding RNA from Dipodomys ordii (Ord's kangaroo rat), 114 nucleotides. The record is from Rfam. Lineage: Eukaryota; Metazoa; Chordata; Mammalia; Rodentia; Heteromyidae.
GUCUAUGGCCAUACCACCCUGAAUGUGCCUGACCUCGUCUGAUCUCAGAAGCUAAGGAGAGUCGGGCCUGGUUAGUACUUGGAUGGGAGAAGUCAAAAACAGCAACAAAAGGAG